Non-coding RNA from Mycena vulgaris, 93 nucleotides. Lineage: Eukaryota; Fungi; Basidiomycota; Agaricomycetes; Agaricales; Mycenaceae. The record is from the annotation of a GenBank genome assembly.
GAUCUGAUGGUAUAAUUGGUUAGUGCACCUGCUCAACAUAUUGUCCUUCUAAAGUUUAAACAGGAACUCCCUGUUCGAUCCAGGGUCAGAUCA